This 429-nucleotide ribosomal RNA is filed under the name uncultured bacterium. RNAcentral describes it as "partial 16S ribosomal RNA". It matches the Rfam family "Bacterial small subunit ribosomal RNA", at positions 354 to 796 of the family's 1533-position model. The record is from RNAcentral.
GUGGGGAAUAUUGGGCAAUGGGGGCAACCCUGACCCAGCGACGCCGCGUGAGGGAAGAAGGCCUUCGGGUUGUAAACCUCUGUCCUUGGUGACGAAAAAAAUGACGGUAGCCAAGGAGGAAGCCCCGGCUAACUCCGUGCCAGCAGCCGCGGUAAGACGGAGGGGGCAAGCGGUGUUCGGAAUUAUUGGGCGUAAAGGGCUCGUAGGCGGAUCUGUAAGUCUGGCGUGAAAUCUCCACCGCUUAACGGGGAGCUGCCGCUGGAUACUGCAGAUCUGGAGUUCGGUAGAGGAUCGUGGAAUUUCGGGUGUAGCGGUGGAAUGCGUAGAUAUCCGAAAGAACACAAGUGGCGAAGGCGACGAUCUGGGCCUGAACUGACGCUGAGGAGCGAAAGCUAGGGGAGCAAACGGGAUUAGAUACCCGUGUAGUCC